UACAGAGGUCCCAAGCGUUGUUCGGAUUCACUGGGCGUAAAGGGUGCGUAGGUGGUUAGGUAAGUCCGAUGUGAAAUCUCCAGGCUCAACCUGGAAAUGGCAUUGGAUACUAUCUAGCUUGAGGAGUGGAGGGGGGGACUGGAAUUCUCGGUGUAGCAGUGAAAUGCGUAGAUAUCGAGAGGAACACCAGUGGCGAAGGCGAGUCCCUGGACACUUCCUGACACUGAGGCACGAAAGCUAGGGGGAGCAAACAGG
Molecule: ribosomal RNA, 255 nt
Filed under: uncultured bacterium
Lineage: Bacteria
Description: partial 16S ribosomal RNA
Rfam family: Bacterial small subunit ribosomal RNA
Source: RNAcentral